AUCCAUUCCCUGGAAUCCCUGCGACCCUGUCCUCCAGUCUCCGAACACCGGCGCUUCCUCCCCACCGCCGCGAUCUGCCACACUUUUUCAACUGCUUCGCCGGACCACCUCCCCCCUUUUUCCGCCGAGAUAUGCCCCUCUCAUCUCCACACCGGCCCCACAUUUCCCUUCACCGAUCUGCGAUCUGCCUUCCACCAUCGCCGCUUCCUUUCCCCACAGCGAUCUACACCCUCGCAUCUCUAUAUCGGUUCUCCGCGCCGACCAUCAGAUAUGCCACCUCCAUUUCCUUCCUCCAGCGAUUCGCCCCAUCGGCCCCAGCCCGUCACCAAGCCACGACCAUGGUAAGGUUUUUUUUGUAAGUUUUCUUUUUCCCCUCUCCCCGCGCCCCUAGAUCCCCAAAUCCUCACCGCCUCAUUGCGACUUCCGGCGACCACGGUAGCCAUGGCCGCCGAUCUGCCCCUCCCACCACCAGAAAACCAGAAAUCGAUCUGCCACCUCCCUUCCCCCAUAUGGUAAGUAUUAAAUGUUUGACUUAUUUUUCUUCUUUUUUCAGAAUUUUGGAAAGAUUUUUAACACUGGAAACUUAAACCCUAGAUUUUUAUGUUAAUUAAUUUUCGGUUGCUGCACAUUAUGUAAAUAUAGAAUGGUUAUAAACUUUAGAAAGAAUUUUUUUUGGAAAGAAUUUUUUCGAAGGAAACUUAAACCCUAAAUUUUCAUCUAUAAAUUCAUUAGUUUGAAUUAUUAACGAUGCAGCAGACGCAAGGUAACCUUCUUCUUCUUUUGUUGUCUUUCUUUUCUUUUGCAUUAACGCGGCAAUACCUUCUUCUUAUUUUUCUUCUUUUUUCCAGAUUUUUGGUUCUAGGUGCUUGGUCCAGAACCGCCGCUCGCCAGCCGCUGUGUUGCACUCGCCCACUCCUAUUCUCACUUCAACUGUAAGUUUUCCAAAUUCUCUCACCCUCCAUUUCAGUUAUGUCAACAGAUUGUUUGCUGGUGUUUCCACUUCAUAUUCCCUUUUCUUUAUGUUACCAAGUUGGAUGGGUUCAAAUCCUUUAUUGGCUCUGCUGUUAUAGCUACUGAAUUUAUCGAUAUUUCUGUUGGAGAUUAACUAAUUAGCUGCAUCAGUAAAUGGGCAUCUGUAUGGUGUAAGCUAAAAACUUUCGCUGCAUUAAUCACCACAAUUUUAAUCUAAUCCUUUAUUGUUGCAUUUGUGUUUUGAUUAUAAUUUAUGAAAUGACGGUGUAAGUUUGAAUCUCUUGAGGAUUACCAAGUGAAGAUGGAAUGAAUGUGUUUGAUCCCCACCCUUUUUUUUAGUUUUCUAAUUAAUCUUAUCUUUUGGACUUUUGGUUGCUUACCUCAAUUCAAGAUGUGGGAAUGUUUCAUAUUCAUAUGCUUUUAUUUACAUUUCUGAGUUAAUUUACAGCCAACUAAAAGAAGUUGUUUUGUUAAGCAAUCGAAAGUAUUUGUUCUGAUCUUUACUGGGGUGGGAACAGGGGGGGUUUUAGAGCAUGUCGUUAAUAAUUGUAAUGAGUCUGGAACAGGCGUUUUGAAAUUAUAAGUGGACUUCAUGGUCUAUAUUUGUGCUGUAGAAACUAUAUUUGUUACAUGCUUCUCAGAAAUAUAGAUCCUUCAAACGAGCUUUGCAAUGGCACAAGGAUGAUAGUCACCAAACUUGGGAAGGUUAAUUACCAGUGUAAUCCUCAAUAAUCCAAUUAUGACAUGACGUUUUUGGCUAUUGUGGGAGCCUCUCUCUAGGUCAACACCCAGUACAACUACGAGAGAUCAACGAGUGGAUGGAUCCCCGUUAAUCUAGACCACGAUCUAUUAGGCCUCAAGCUCAUCGAUGGGUGGGGUCCAAAACAUCUAGGACAAACAAAGACUAAGGUCAUGCCCAAACAUUAAUUGCCAAGAUCCAAGUCUCACGAACUCCGACUAGGGAUUAGGCACGAGACAUAACGCGUGCGGGGUUUCAUAGCUCAUCACUUAUUCAAUUGUUACAUGUAUUAAUGUAAUAAUUUAUAUAGUACUCCUUCCGUCCUAAACGAAAUGUCCUGUUUUUCUUUUUGGGUUGUCCCAAACGAAAUGUCCUGUUUUCUUUUUUGGCAAUAGAUACACUCUCUCUCUAUACUUAAUAUUUAAAUAAUUUCCACCAACCCACUUUAUCUAAUUUAUAUACAUUUCUUAAUCUUCGUGCCGAAAAGAAAUAGGACAUUUCGUUUGGGACGGAGGGAGUACAUGAUUAAUUAAUGCUAAUUAAUCGAUGUUUAAUAAACAUGAACUAAUCUUUAAUGUUUAUCACUUUAUCCCACGACUCUAUAUUUUAACUAAUUAAUUUUAAUUAAUUAUAUCUAACUCACCAGAAAUCGAUUUUAAAACUAAUCAAAUGUCUUAUUAGUCGAAAUAAUUGACCCAACAUUAAUCUUCUCAAAAGUAAUUUUCCAACAUAUAGAUUAAAAAAUAAAUAAAUUGAUUAUUUUAGUUUUUUAUGGUUAUUUUGAAAAUAAGAAAAAUAUUUGAAAAUGUUGAAAAAGUAAGGGUUAAUUGCCCUUAAAUACAGCACAUUUUCUUGAAUUCUACAAUUACACAUCACCUUUAAAAUCCGCCCCUAAAUACACCACUUUUUCUUGAAUUCUACAAUUGCAUAUCACCUUUAAAUCCGCCCCAAAAUACAUCACCUUUAUAUUUUUUCUGUUUUUGCACAUGACUAAAAAAUCCUCAAGAAAUAAAUUAAAGUGUUAAUUUAUAAAUUUAAAUAUCUUUUUAGCAGCGAAAAUAUAAUAAAAUAAAAUUCUUUAUUUAUUUUUAUAAAGAACUUUAUUUUAUUAUAUUUCCGCUUUAAAUUUAUAUUUAACACUUUAGUUAGAUUAGGGUGUUACCACUUUAAAUGACGUGGCUUCCAUAUUGGCAAAAUUGUGUCGUUUUGAAUGUUAUGAUCAGAUUGUUUGCUGGUGUUUCCACUUCAUAUUCCCUUUUCUUUAUGUUACCAUGUUGGAUGGGUUCAAAUCCUUUAUUGGCUCUGCUGUUAUAGCUACUGAAUUUAUCGAUAUUUCUGUUGGAGAUUAACUAAUUAGCUGCAUCAGUAAAUGGGCAUCUGUAUGGUGUAAGCUAAAAACUUUCGCUGCAUUAAUCACCACAAUUUUAAUCUAAUCCUUUAUUGUUGCAUUUGUGUUUUGAUUAUAAUUUAUGAAAUGACGGUGUAAGUUUGAAUCUCUUGAGGAUUACCAAGUGAAGAUGGAAUGAAUGUGUUUGAUCCCCACCCUUUUUUUAGUUUCUAAUUAAUCUUAUCUUUUGGACUUUUGGUUGCUUACCUCAAUUCAAGAUGUGGGAAUGUUUCAUAUUCAUAUGCUUUUAUUUACAUUUCUGAGUUAAUUUACAGCCAACUAAAGAAGUUGUUUUGUUAAGCAAUCGAAAGUAUUUGUUCUGAUCUUUACUGGGGUGGGAACAGGGGGGGUUUUAGAGCAUGUCGUUAAUAAUUGUAAUGAGUCUGGAACAGGCGUUUUGAAAUUAUAAGUGGACUUCAUGGUCUAUAUUUGUGCUGUAGAAACUAUAUUUGUUACAUGCUUCUCAGAAAUAUAGAUCCUUCAAACGAGCUUUGCAAUGGCACAAGGAUGAUAGUCACCAAACUUGGGAAGGUUAAUUACCAGUGUAAUCCUCAAUAAUCCAAUUAUGACAUGACGUUUUUGGCUAUUGUGGGAGCCUCUCUCUAGGUCAACACCCAGUACAACUACGAGAGAUCAACGAGUGGAUGGAUCCCCGUUAAUCUAGACCACGAUCUAUUAGGCCUCAAGCUCAUCGAUGGGUGGGGUCCAAAACAUCUAGGACAAACAAAGACUAAG
RNAcentral lists this long non-coding RNA (3833 nucleotides) under Salvia miltiorrhiza (redroot sage). RNAcentral's name for it is "long non-coding RNA (SMIL_LNC012185)". The record is from RNAcentral. Lineage: Eukaryota; Viridiplantae; Streptophyta; Magnoliopsida; Lamiales; Lamiaceae.